This 434-nucleotide ribosomal RNA is filed under the name uncultured Lachnospiraceae bacterium. Its description in RNAcentral is "partial 16S ribosomal RNA". It matches the Rfam family "Bacterial small subunit ribosomal RNA", at positions 341 to 792 of the family's 1533-position model. The record is from RNAcentral. Lineage: Bacteria; Bacillati; Bacillota; Clostridia; Lachnospirales; Lachnospiraceae.
ACGGGAGGCAGCAGUGGGGAAUAUUGCACAAUGGGGGAAACCCUGAUGCAGCGACGCCGCGUGAGUGAAGAAGUUAUUCGUAAUGUAAAGCUCUAUCAGCAGGGAAGAAAAUGACGGUACCUGACUAAGAAGCCCCGGCUAACUACGUGCCAGCAGCCGCGGUAAUACGUAGGGGGCAAGCGUUAUCCGGAUUUACUGGGUGUAAAGGGCGUGUAGGCGGGACAGCAAGUCAGAUGUGAAAGCACGAGGCUCAACUUCGUGUCUGCAUUUGAAACUGCUGUUCUUGAGUGCUGGAGAGGCUAACGGAACUCCUAGUGUAGCGGUGAAAUGCGUAGAUAUUAGGAAGAACGCCAGUGGCGAAGGCGGUUAGCUGGACAGUAACUGACGUUGAGGCUCGAAAGCGUGGGGAGCAAACAGGAUUAGAUACCCUGGUA